This is a non-coding RNA of Aegilops tauschii subsp. strangulata, 3818 nucleotides long. NCBI's taxonomy places the organism in Eukaryota, Viridiplantae, Streptophyta, Magnoliopsida, Poales, Poaceae. The record is from RefSeq and is a predicted model, not a curated record.
CCGCCGCUCCCUCUCCUCUCCCUCCCGCCCCGCCUCUCUCUCUCCGUCCAAACCCUCCCUAACCCACGCCCGCCUCCCUGCCCCGCCGCCAGCCGCAGCCGCCGCCGCCGCCGCUCGCCGCGUCUCCCUCCAAACGCUCGCUGCGCCCGCCUCCUCCGCCGCCUCCUCUCCACCGCCGCCGAGGUGGCACGGGAGGUGGCGCCCCCCGCGUCGUGGGCGUUGGCGCAGCCGCAGGUGGGGGCGGCGGCGUGGACGGAAUUGGGGCAGGGGCGUUCUUCGUGGCCGCAUCAGGCGUGGGCGCUGCCACAGGCGAAGCAGCAACAACAGUGAGGCUGUACACGGCGGAAGGGGAACAGGCGGGGUACACGACCAAGUGGGAGGAGCUCCGUCCGGUUUCGCAGCACCUUCUCCUGCAAAUCGAGGUUUCAAAAACAUCUCGUGGUGGUGGAUUCUACAGGGAGAAGAUAAGGGAUGAGAGGCAUGUGUGUGAGCAGGUGGAACAAUAACUGGAUGCUCGUCAGAUUACCCAGGAUAUCAGAUUUAUGAGCUUCUGUUACUUGAUGCAAUUUCAAAAAGUGUCGGUAAGGUAAAAAUGAUCUAGAAGCUUAUUGCAUUCGAAAGUAGUUAUUGCAAGAAGAAGCAUGAGACACUAGCAGGUAUAUAAUGUCUAUUCUGCUUUCUAUUUGUUUUUUAGGUUCAGAUUACAAAUUCUUGCAUGAUGUAGAAGUUUCAACCGAAUGGUGCACCCUCAAAAUUGUGUUUUGUUAUGCACGAUGCAAGCUUCAGCAGCACCACACCUAGAUUUUGAAUGGCUCAUAGCAGACUAUAUAUGGCUAACCUAUUGUAUGGCAUUCUUAUUUUUUGUCUAUAUGCAUUACUUCUAGAUUUACUUCUAUUGUUGCGCCAUCACAUGGAUCAAACACACUAAAAUAUGAUGUUGAUCUUGCACAAAAGGAAGAACGGUGGUGUCACAUAAGCAUGGCUCGACCUAGCCUUGAUCAUGGUAGCCUCUUAGGUGUUCCUACUUGCUACUAUCCAUGCUACCUGAAAACCCAGCUUAUUUCACCACCAGCUCCAAAGCAACGACAGAAUGUAGGCAUCACCGUAUAUAAUUUUAUUGCAUAUUGCUCAACUCCUCCUCUAUGAAUUUGCUUACAAGCGUGUGUGACUACACUUGCUAUGCACAUGUACUAUAGACAAGUCGGCAGGACCUCACAUCACAACACCUAAGCGAGUCUGGCAAGGCUUGCUCGCCAUGGCCUACCGCGUCGGCGAGACGGGGCGAGCACGUGAUCACCAUCAACAGGUCCUUUGUCACAACACCCUAGCAAGCGAGAUGUUUAGACAAAGAUAUAUGAUAUAGUACUAUCAACAUAUGUCAUAGACGAACAGUAUAUAUCCUUCUCUUCACAAGCACAAGACUUGAUUUUGAUAAAUUGUGUUACCAUUUCUGCGGCAUCAACAUUUGGGAGGACACACCAUCUGAAUCCUCUAUAAUAACUGAACCAUUACUAUUACAAGCAACCUCCUACAUCUUCCUUCCAAAAAUUCAGAUGAUGGUUUAGUUGUUUAUAUACAUGUGCCAUCUCUUAUGUCUGAAAUAUAUAUUCUACUAUCGGGCUGGCUGGCACCUGGCAGGCUGCACUUCCUAUCUACUUGUGACGCCCCAUCAUGUUGGUUUACAUUUGGAGCAAAAAUUCUGCUGAGCAUUUGGUGUGACUGAUUGCACUAUCCAUUUAGUGUUGUCUGGACAUAGCUAUGUAGUGGACACAAUUAUUUAGAAAAAUGUCAAACCUUAACAUUUACAGGAAGCUUUACAUAUGUUUGGAUUAUGGGUCCGCUGUAGGUUUGCAUAGAUAAAUAAAUAGCACUCUUGCUAUCAAAGUGUGUGUUUCAUGGGCCUUUCUUUGUUUGAGGGACAUAACUCAAUUUUUGUAUCAGCCAUACUUCUGCUAUAUAUAUGGAAACAAUCAGUGUCUAUUUCUUUUUUAUCUGAACUGAGACAUAAUUCUACUAUAUGUAAACAAUCAUUGGUUCUUUCUUUUUUAUCUAAACUGAGAAAUAACUCUAAUCAAUUGUUUUUUAUUUAAUGUCUAAGUAUCUUCCUUACCCAAAACUUGUGCCAAAACUGGUAUUUCUUUCAUGUGUGCCUUGUGCCAUAUAUUAUCCAACCCCCUCUACUUCUGUACAGUUUUUUGUGGCGAAGAUUACUGGCACCAUGUGAAUCUUAAGCUCCACCAUUUCCUAAUUUUUCUCUCAUGGUCGCCCUCUAGGUUUCCUGGCAAGGCGAUGGUGUAUGAACCCUGUGCGCCUGCCUAGCUGUAUUGCGGCUCGAGGAUGCGGCGGAGGUGGCACAUGAGCAGAUGAAAGAGGAAUAAUUGAAGCCCCAAUGCCUCCCACAUUCUUGCUCCCUGAUAAUGGAAGUACUAGGUUUCAAACUCCUUCCCCUUCCCUGAUAUUUACAAUUCCUUUUCGGUUAGCCAUCAUCGAUGUUGACUGUUGACUGAAAUAUUUAGUUCUGUUGCUGGACACCUAAUAUCUGCACACUGUGUGUCCGCCAGCUGAGCGGCAAGCCGGAGCUGCAAGUCGCUGAACAUGGUCGUGCUACUGGCAACUCACUUGGGCAUGUAGUGGGGAUGGCUUAUGUUCAAGCACCUAAUGGAAUGUAUGCUUUUCCUUGAUGCUCCGUUCCUAAGAAAUUGCAUGAAGCUGGUGUCUGGUGCAGUCUCACACAAAGAAAGAGAAAAGAUUCAGUGUCAACGACUCAUGAAUGGAAAUAAAAACACGAGCGGGAAUCAUUUACUGUUUUCCCUACCUUAGAGUAUAAUUAUAUGAUCGCUUCACGGUUCUUUCCCUGAAGAUGUUUGGUAUAUGCUCAUCUUGUGCAUUUUUACCCUUUAGCUAAUUGCCCCCCCCUUUUUUCCUUUUUCACUGUUCUCCUGUGUUGAAAGAGCUUCUAAUGUUCUUGCAGUCAGGGGCAAAAAAAACUCACAAAAAUAUGAGCCCAAUGACCAUGAUCCGCUUGCAGCAAAUCUGGCUAAUUCGCUCUCUAUUGGGAAUAUUCCUCUUGGCAUGUUGGUUAUCCCUUUGCACUGAACUGCAUUAUUGAAUCGAAAGGUAGCUAUAUCAUGGGAGUGUAAAAUUUCAUAUUUAUUCACAGGGUUGUGGAUUAUUGUUAUUUAUUGUGAUUUAGAAAGUUUAAUUUUAGUGACAUUUGGUUUUAAUGAGUUCGACAAUAACCCGCAUAUGCUGUUAAUCAGAAGUUAUAUUACACAGUUUCAUCUUCGCUAUUGUCGCGGCAUAGUGUGACAGAAGUUACUCCAGUUGUAUGCACCUUUUUUUUAGCUGCAAUAUUCAUUUGGAUCUCUCAGCAACAUAUCUUUUCUACUUAAUACUCUACAUGCAUAAUGUUACUGACUUGUUUCCAGUCUAUCUGAAUUUUGUAUAGCUUUUAGAGUGCCUAUUCUCAUGAGCUAAUUCUGAUAUUUUUUGUAGAGCUUCCAUAUUAUCAUUAGGAAGAAUAAGGCUGUCAAGUAUAGCUUUUAGAGUGCCUAUUCUCAUUAGGAAGCAUUAGCUUUGUCUCAGAAGUUCUCUGUAAUGAUCAGCUAUUAGCUAUCAUCGAUGUUUCCAGAGAAUUGUUUCCAAUUCUCUGUCAUCUCAAAUUCUCAAUUGUAUUUAUGAGCAGAUAAAACAUCUACUGUAACACUUGCUGGUAUGAAUUACUUGGCUAUAUUUACGUAACUUGUACGUUUAUGUUUUGUACUAUCUGAUGCAAGUCAAUUGUCCUGAGCAAACAUUGUGCCUUGCUUUUGGUACAA